ACCCGCUGAACUUAAGCAUAUCAAUAAGCGGAGGAAAAGAAACCAACAGGGAUUGCCCUAGUAACGGCGAGUGAAGCGGCAACAGCUCAAAUUUGAAAUCUGGCGUCUUUGGCGUUCGAGUUGUAAUUUGCAGAGGGCGCUUUGGCAUUGGCAGCGGUCCAAGUUCCUUGGAACAGGACGUCACAGAGGGUGAGAAUCCCGUACGUGGUCGCUAGCCUUUACCGUGUAAAGCCCCUUCGACGAGUCGAGUUGUUUGGGAAUGCAGCUCUAAAUGGGAGGUAAAUUUCUUCUAAAGCUAAAUACUGGCCAGAGACCGAUAGCGCACAAGUAGAGUGAUCGAAAGAUGAAAAGCACUUUGGAAAGAGAGUUAAAAAGCACGUGAAAUUGUUGAAAGGGAAGCGCUUGCAGCCAGACUUGCCUGUAGUUGCUCAUCCAGGUUUCUACCUGGUGCACUCUUCUAUAGGCAGGCCAGCAUCAGUUUGGGCGGUUGGAUAAAGGUCUCUGUCAUGUACCUCUCUUCGGGGAGAACUUAUAGGGGAGACGACAUGCAACCAGCCUGGACUGAGGUCCGCGCAUCUGCUAGGAUGCUGGCGUAAUGGCUGUAAGCGGCCCGUCUUGAAACACGGACCAAGGAGUCUAACAUCUAUGCGAGUGUUUGGGUGUCAAGCCCGAGCGCGUAAUGAAAGUGAACGGAGGUGGGAACCUUUCGGGGUGCACCAUCGACCGAUCCUGAUGUCUUCGGAUGGAUUUGAGUAAGAGCAUAGCUGUUGGGACCCGAAAGAUGGUGAACUAUGCUUGAAUAGGGUGAAGCCAGAGGAAACUCUGGUGGAGGCUCGCAGCGGUUCUGACGUGCAAAUCGAUCGUCAAAUUUGGGCAUAGGGGCGAAAGACUAAUCGAACUAUCUAGUAGCUGGUUCCUGCCGAA
RNAcentral lists this ribosomal RNA (924 nucleotides) under Didymella segeticola. Its description in RNAcentral is "partial large subunit ribosomal RNA". It matches the Rfam family "Eukaryotic large subunit ribosomal RNA", at positions 23 to 965 of the family's 3401-position model. Lineage: Eukaryota; Fungi; Ascomycota; Dothideomycetes; Pleosporales; Didymellaceae. The record is from RNAcentral.